RNAcentral lists this ribosomal RNA (464 nucleotides) under uncultured bacterium. RNAcentral's name for it is "bacterial SSU rRNA". It matches the Rfam family "Bacterial small subunit ribosomal RNA", at positions 329 to 793 of the family's 1533-position model. The record is from RNAcentral.
CACCAGACUCCUACGGGAGGCAGCAGUGGGGAAUAUUGCACAAUGGGGGGAACCCUGAUGCAGCGACGCCGCGUGGGUGAAGGAGCACCUCGGUGCGUAAAGCCCUAUCGGCAGGGAAGAAAAGCGAACAGGUUCGCCUGGACGGUACCUGACUAAGAAGCCCCGGCUAACUACGUGCCAGCAGCCGCGGGAAUACGUAGGGGGCAAGCGUUAUCCGGAUUCACUGGGUGUAAAGGGAGCGUAGACGGCGACGCAAGUCUGGAGUGAAAGCCCGGGGCCCAACCCCGGGACUGCAUUGGAAACUGCCGGGCUGGAGUGUCGGAGGGGUAAGCGGAAUUCCUAGUGUAGCGGUGAAAUGCGUAGAUAUUAGGAGGAACACCAGUGGCGAAGGCGGCUUACUGGACGAUCACUGACGCUGAGGCUCGAAAGCGUGGGGAGCAAACAGGAUUAGAUACCCUCGUAUG